RNAcentral lists this ribosomal RNA (253 nucleotides) under uncultured bacterium. RNAcentral's name for it is "partial 16S ribosomal RNA". It matches the Rfam family "Bacterial small subunit ribosomal RNA", at positions 524 to 776 of the family's 1533-position model. The record is from RNAcentral.
GACGAACCGUGCGAACGUUGUUCGGAAUCACUGGGCUUAAAGGGCGCGUAGGUGGCCAACUAAGUCAGACGUGAAAUCCCUCGGUUUAACCGGGGAACUGCGUCUGAUACUGGAUGGCUUGAGUUUGGGAGAGGGAUGCGGAAUUCCAGGUGUAGCGGUGAAAUGCGUAGAUAUCUGGAGGAACACCGGUGGCGAAGGCGGCAUCCUGGACCAACACUGACACUGAGGAGCGAAAGCCAGGGGAGCAAACGGG